RNAcentral lists this long non-coding RNA (1502 nucleotides) under Dromaius novaehollandiae (emu). Its description in RNAcentral is "lncRNA (ENSDNVG00000004253.1)". Lineage: Eukaryota; Metazoa; Chordata; Aves; Casuariiformes; Dromaiidae. The record is from RNAcentral.
UUUGAAGUGGAAGCUUUUAGCUAGAAUGUUUGGAACAUUUCUCAUCAAAAUGAGAAAGAAACAUUCAUGUGAGACAUUUUGCCACACGAAAUAGAUAAUUAUCUAUUUUUGUAUCUAUAGGUCUCUUUGUAUAUCUGUGUAGUUUGACAGGGGAUACUGCAGAUGACCACCCAGUGCUUAUGGUCUUCGCUGGAGACAUGGAAGUUCAUUUUGUUUCCAGACAAAUAUAACUGGGGUGCCCAGAGCUCCCGAAUGCUCAGUGAAUGACUGAUCUGGAAAUUGGUACUCAGUGAUUCGGUAUUCCUUCUCUGCUUCACUCUGGUGUGAAAUUGAAAGGGGAGGAAUUAAUAUAAAACAAUAAAAACUGUUGGCAUUUUGGGAAAUAUGGCUGGCCUUUCAAGUUUGUAAGUUCUGCAGAACACUGCCUUCCUUGCAGUAAUCAACCUUAAGACCUUCCCUCGGAGAAGUAUUUUGAAUUUAUUGCAGUCAGUCGGUACGUCUGUCAUAAAGAUAAGCACGGGAAUUAAAAUACCUAUGAGGGUUAUUAUCUGAUAAAACAUUUUUUGGUUCAAUAAACAGAAUCAGAGUUACUUUCUCUUUGUUUGUCAGCUGAUGGCAGGCUGAGGAGAUAAUGAACACCAGGAAGGAGGCUGAACUGUGAACUUUUGAAUUUAUUGCAUCAAACAAGUUUUGUUCACUAGCCUGAACCUUUCCCCUCCCCCUCAGUUGAAGGCUGGAUUGGAAUUAUUCCUGCAUGCAAGCGUGACGUUUAAGAGUACUCCUUGCAUUCAGAUGUCUGACCACUGGGCCUACCUGUGCAGAGCUACAGGAGGUAUGCAUGAAGACCAGAGGCCCUAACUGGGCUUCUGAGGCCAUAUGCAGUUGCUGGGAUYGUCGUACCUGGAUAAGCUCUCCUUCUCAAUUCGUAAUGAUGUCCAACCGGCAAAUGAUGCUUGCUGUUUUCUAAAGUCAGCUGAUGCAUAUUUACAUUGGUGAAGAAGAGGACAGACUCCGCAGCGUGCAGGACUUGCUUGUGCUCUUUUGUGUGAAGGCUGAGCCCGGCUGGGACUACACCCUGUGCUCACCCCUCAGGAACUUACUAGAUGAAGAAGAAUGGUAAGUCUGACAGUGCACCGGCUGUGACACUAUCUCAGUGUUAAGUGACUCCAAGAUGCCAUACCUCCGUCACAUCCCUGGGACAUCUCUAGACUGGAUAAUCUACAAAAGAAAAAAUGACAGUCCUGUACAGACUCUUAUUUUAACCAUAUGCAGUUAUACAGUUCAUUCCAUAGACUUGGCUGUGGUAUAAGCUACCAGUCACAUUACAGGAGAAGGUUUACCAGUUAUUUGGCCAGAGUAACCAUUUCAGAUGAAAUAUUCCAUCCUGGGUGACUCCAGCUAGAGGACUAGGCUCAGUUUGCACUGAUGAGGUUAGCCCUCGGGCCACCCAGGUCCCUCGGCCUGCUAGCGCAGUCKGUGGGAGUGAAGCAUUAAAGCAAUCA